Molecule: transfer RNA, 72 nt
Filed under: Candidatus Burarchaeum sp.
Lineage: Archaea; Nanobdellati; Microcaldota; Candidatus Micrarchaeia; Candidatus Burarchaeales; Candidatus Burarchaeaceae
Description: tRNA-Asp
Rfam family: tRNA
About the family: Transfer RNA (tRNA) molecules are approximately 80 nucleotides in length.
Source: RNAcentral
GCCUGGGUGGUGUAGUGGCUAGCAUUACGGCCUGUCACGUCGUCGACCCGGGUUCGAAUCCCGGCCCAGGCG